CAAGUGUCACGGUAAACAGAAAUUAGUAUUCGCUGCAACCGGAACAGCUAUAUGGAAUUUUCGACGCUGGCAGUACAGGUGACCCGUACCCAAACAAAGGGAUUCGACAUCAACCUAUGCCACGGGGAAAACUGACUACGCGGGUUUAAUAAGAUUCGCCGGCCAGAAUCCGAGAUUCUUCCCAUUCGAAUCGACCAACUCAUAGGAAGAAACACCGCGCCGACGAAGAACUUUCGCGGAUCGUCGUCUGAAGCGCCUGAAGUUCGACUGAAGUCAUCUCCCGAAGCCAUUUCUUCACCAUGGACAGUAAAGAAAUGACCAAACUCCUUCGACACGAAGGUGGAAGCGUUGUCGCUCAGAAGAACUUCAGGACACCCGUGACGAUUAAACCACUGCUCCCGAAGAAUGGAACAAAGGGAGCUGCUUUGGAUUUUCCGGACAGGGGCCAACAUGACGUAUUUGCUAAACACGUCUAGCACAACA
This is a long non-coding RNA of Wyeomyia smithii (pitcher-plant mosquito), 483 nucleotides long. RefSeq lists it as uncharacterized. The transcript is spliced from 3 exons. The record is from RefSeq and is a predicted model, not a curated record. Lineage: Eukaryota; Metazoa; Arthropoda; Insecta; Diptera; Culicidae.